GCCCCGGGAGUCCCGGUGACCCGCGGGAUGUUUCACGGCAUCGCGGGCCCGGCCGGGCUCGGAGCCGCCGGGAACAGCCGGAGCUGUACGAGGAGGUGAAGC
This is a long non-coding RNA of Strigops habroptila (Kakapo), 102 nucleotides long. RefSeq lists it as uncharacterized. The record is from RefSeq and is a predicted model, not a curated record. NCBI's taxonomy places the organism in Eukaryota, Metazoa, Chordata, Aves, Psittaciformes, Psittacidae. The transcript has 3 exons.